This 2416-nucleotide long non-coding RNA is filed under the name Patiria miniata (bat star). RNAcentral describes it as "uncharacterized LOC119727269". Lineage: Eukaryota; Metazoa; Echinodermata; Asteroidea; Valvatida; Asterinidae. The record is from RNAcentral.
UAUACCCUGAUGUUCGGAAGAGAACCACUGAUCCCUCUGGAUCAAAUGUUGGGCAGAACUGACUCAGAUUGGGGACAAGAAUUUGUUAGGGAGCAAUCUCAGAUGUUGAACCGUGCCUCGGAAAUUGUGAGGGAUAAAGUUGCUAAGAGGGCAAGUCAAAACAAGGCAGCAUACGAUGCUAGGGGGCGCACAGCAGUGAAACCAGUUGUACCAGGCUCGCAGGUACUCAUGCGCAGAUGUGCAUUUGGGGGCCGUCACAAAAUUCAAAAUAAAUACGAGAGCGAUCCGUAUAUCGUGGUGUGGGUAAAUCAGCAAGGGGAUGUGUGUUCCAUUCGACCGGCUAAGGGAGGCGAACAGAAGACAGUAAAUAGGAAAUAUUUACUACUAGACCCUUUAGCAGAACCGGAGUCUGACAGUGGGGAAGAGUCCGAGGAGGAUUCAUUAUGUGAUGUUGUCGUGUCUGACACGGGUUGCUUGCCAGGCCGGCCUCCAGCUAAUGGCUCUAGGGAAGUAGGGAGUGGAAAAGUAGGGGAGCCAGCUCAAGUCACUGGCUCAAGCUCUUCUGUUCCACUAAGAAGAUCCGAAAGGGUGACAAAGGGGGUACACCGAAACCCAUGUCGACUUCCCCGGUCAGCAUUACUUUGAAUUUGAUAGAAUCUUGUGUUUACUGUGAGGUGACGACAUCAGUUGGUGGAUGGGUGUCGCUGGGGGUCUGGAACGUUUUGGGAGAAGGCUGGGGUAUCCGGUUCUCUUAAGACCGACCAGAUCCAGCGCUGCUCAUUCGUACGAUGUCGUCGCAGCUUAAUUUUCACAAUGUCAGAUGACAGAGUCAAGUUAGGUAACUGGUAUAUUUCCUAUAUGUAGGGGCCCAGGUUGGCUCUCCUUUUUAUUCAUGUUGUAUUUACUAUGAGUUUUGUGCUAUUUGGACAUAGUUUUGUUAAACGCCUUAAUAAAAGGAGAGGAUCUUUUUAUGUAGCUUUGUCAGGUGGAACGUACGAGAUUAAGUGUCUGGGGGAAGGGGGUCUCACUAUAGACCGAAUAGAGAAAAACCCUCGACGGUAUUUGAGACCACUUGGUAUGAUAUCACCAAAGGUGCUGGUCCUCGACUUAGGAACUAAUGAUCUCUGUGCAAGAGAAAAUCAACCUGGGAUGGUGCAUGCCUCCUUAUGCAAUCUUAUUAACGAAUUUCCUAGGUGGAAUAUCAAACCUGAGGCUAUUGUAUUUUUGCCUGUGCUGGCCCGCACUGGGGCCAUGCGAAGCUCACAAGUCUCACUUGAUGAAUUUAAUGCAAGGGUUGAAGCAUUUAACAGGUUGUUGGAGGGUUCCACAUUUGUAGAAGAUAGAUGGUGGGUGUGGAAACACCGGGCCUUAAAGAACCCUGAGUACAUCCUGGAUGGUGUGCAUCUGAACCCUGCAGGCAUGGCUCACUAUGAAAGAACCCUCAGACAGUUGAUCAAGUUUUUUGAAUUCAGGAUUCUGUGAUUAUAGUAACUUGUUUGACGUUGCUAGGAGUGACGAUGUGUUUGUCCUAACUCAAAGUUUGGGUAUUGCUAUAAAAGUUCAGUUAAGAUUUUGGAAAGAAGGGUAUAUUUAUAUUGUAUAUGAGACCCGUCACGACGGAGGGCCGUUUAAGUUAUACCCUGCCAAAAUUAACAUUUUUGUGCUUUAAUGAAAGAAAAUGUAAUGAGCGUUAAAAUGAUGGGUCAGACAGCUCAACAGAUAGUAUGGUUUUAGAGUUAUAACAAUGUAUGUAAACAGAGCCAGAUUGGUCGCAUUAUGUUUUCUUGUUAACUGAUCCCAUUUUAUUGCUGUUUUAAAAAAAAGUGUUUUCCUAAAUUGAUCUCCAGGAGUAGAUCACCAAAAGAAGGGGAGAGAUGUAGUGAUUAGAAAUUAUUUAUUUGCUUUGCCCGUUAGGUCAAAUGAGGGCGCUGUUUAAGUUAACUGGUCAAACUUCCGCGAAUUUGUUGAGGGGUUAUGAGGAUAUAGAAAUAGUACGUUCAUCAGCCAAGUAAGGGGAUAUUUUGACGAUAAUAGAUAACUAAGGGGUUCUAUCUCUCAUGAAGUGCUGUAUUCUCAGAAGUAAAUUUCUGUUAUUGUAAAAUAUGUGAAUGUAGGAUAGAGCAGAUGAUGUUUUUAUCGUGUGCGCCUUAAUACUAAACAACUGUUUACGUAAGCGGGUUUGGCGGGCACUGUCUCCGAGGUCUGCGUUUCUGACAGCUGCAGAAAGCUUGCUUUAGCAACUAUUAUCAGACCAAUUUAGCCUGACAGCCGAUGGCUGGAAUGUAUUACUAGACACCAGAGGAAGGAGAGACAGCCCUGGAGCCCGUGCACUGGCUGGUUUUUUUGUGAUGAAUGGGAGCAGAAACGACUAAUAAAUUUGAUGUGAUUGAAUCAUCACCCCUGAACCUCGACUCCA